Molecule: signal recognition particle RNA, 300 nt
Filed under: Cebus imitator (Panamanian white-faced capuchin)
Lineage: Eukaryota; Metazoa; Chordata; Mammalia; Primates; Cebidae
Description: Metazoan signal recognition particle RNA (ENSCCAG00000007115.1)
Rfam family: Metazoan signal recognition particle RNA
About the family: The signal recognition particle (SRP) is a universally conserved ribonucleoprotein. It is involved in the co-translational targeting of proteins to membranes.
Source: Rfam by way of RNAcentral
GCCGGGCGCGGUGGUGCAUGCCUGUAGUCCCAGCUACUCAGGAGGCUGAGGUGGGAGUAUCGCUUGAGCCCAGGAGUUCUGGGCUAUAGUGCGCUGUGCUGCUCGGGUGUCCGCACCAAGUUCUGCAUCAAAAUGGUGACCACCCGGGAGUGGGGGACCACCAGGUUGCCCAAGGAGGGGUGGACCGGCCCAGGUCGGAAACGGAGCAGGUCAAAACUCCCAUGCUGAUCAGCAGUGGGACUGCACCUGUGAACAGCCACUGCACUCCAGCCUGGGCAACAUAGCAAGACCCCACCUCUU